This 501-nucleotide unclassified non-coding RNA is filed under the name Hevea brasiliensis (rubber tree). The record is from RNAcentral. Lineage: Eukaryota; Viridiplantae; Streptophyta; Magnoliopsida; Malpighiales; Euphorbiaceae.
GGUAACUGCCAAGAGGACAAACAUACCUGGGAUGAAGCAAUAUCGUCCACGCCGAUCCAAUCCAUUUAUGGGUGCUCGAUCCAGGAGCCCAUAUGUUGCUCCUUAUUUCUUCUCACCAUAUGGAUACGGGAAAGUCCCGAGGUUCAGAAUGCCAACGCGUUACGGCCCCUACUAUUGAAUGUUAAUUUUGUUUUUGGGCAUUGUUGAAUUAGAGACAUUGCACUUAAAUGUGUCUGCAUGCCCUUUUCUUUCUUACGGAAAUUGAUGUUUGGAUAUAAUUUUAAGAGAUCUUUUCUGUUUAAAAAGAAAUGGAGUGUGAGCAAGCACGACGCAGGUUCGAUCACUUUGAGCUGUACCAUUCGCAGCAUCACUGCGUAAGAAAAGCUUCUCUGGACUUUGCUGCUGGUAAGUUUUCAAGAUCUAAGUAUUCAUUUUGGAAUUGUGCAUGUUGUUCGAAGCUAACAUUGGAAAAUCCAAUACAUACUUGGUAUCAAACCGUUU